GAGAUAGAGUCUUCCCCUUCGGGGGACAAAGUGACAGGUGGUGCAUGGUUGUCGUCAGCUCGUGUCGUGAGAUGUUGGGUUAAGUCCCGCAACGAGCGCAACCCUUAAGCUUAGUUGCCAGCAUUAAGUUGGGCACUCUAAGUUGACUGCCGGUGACAAACCGGAGGAAGGUGGGGAUGACGUCAAAUCAUCAUGCCCCUUAUGAUUUGGGCUACACACGUGCUACAAUGGACAAUACAAAGGGCAGCUAAACCGCGAGGUCAUGCAAAUCCCAUAAAGUUGUUCUCAGUUCGGAUUGUAGUCUGCAACUCGACUACAUGAAGCUGGAAUCGCUAGUAAUCGUAGAUCAGCAUGCUACGGUGAAUACGUUCCCGGGUCUUGUACACACCGCCCGUCACACCACGAGAGUCUGUAACACCCGAAGCCGGUGGAGUAACCAUUUAUGGAGCUAGCCGUCGAAGGUGGGACAAAUGAUUGGGGUGAAGUCAUAACAAGGUAGCCGUAUCGGAA
RNAcentral lists this ribosomal RNA (510 nucleotides) under uncultured bacterium. RNAcentral's name for it is "bacterial SSU rRNA". It matches the Rfam family "Bacterial small subunit ribosomal RNA", at positions 1003 to 1510 of the family's 1533-position model. The record is from RNAcentral.